Stereum hirsutum FP-91666 SS1 is the source of this 93-nucleotide non-coding RNA. Lineage: Eukaryota; Fungi; Basidiomycota; Agaricomycetes; Russulales; Stereaceae. The record is from Rfam.
UGCCCCAUGGCUAAGUUGGUCAAAGCGUCCGACUGUUAUUACACAAUGUGUUGCCACAUCGGAAGGUCUCCAGUUCGAGCCUGGAUGGGGCAG